GCCGGGCGUGGUGGCUCAUGCCUGUAAUCCCAGCUACAUGGGAGGCUGAGGCACGAGAAUCGCUUGAACCCAGGAGGCAGAGGUUGUAGUGAGCCAAGAUUGCACCACUGCACUCCGGCCUGGGUGACAGAGUGAGACUCUGUCUCUC
Molecule: small RNA, 148 nt
Filed under: Pongo abelii (Sumatran orangutan)
Lineage: Eukaryota; Metazoa; Chordata; Mammalia; Primates; Hominidae
Description: Metazoan signal recognition particle RNA (ENSPPYG00000035795.1)
Source: Rfam by way of RNAcentral